This is a small nucleolar RNA of Artibeus jamaicensis (Jamaican fruit-eating bat), 130 nucleotides long. RefSeq annotates it as small nucleolar RNA SNORA41. Lineage: Eukaryota; Metazoa; Chordata; Mammalia; Chiroptera; Phyllostomidae. The transcript has a single exon. The record is from RefSeq and is a predicted model, not a curated record.
ACCCACUACUGGUCUGCAGCUGUUCUAACGGUGGCGGUGGUGACAUUCCUCUGUGGGAAAGAAAUCGUGGCACAGUUCAACACCUCUUUCUUAGCAAACCAGAAAGUGGGCAUGUGUGUGACAAACACAC